Long non-coding RNA from Helianthus annuus (common sunflower), 1337 nucleotides. RefSeq lists it as uncharacterized. The transcript is spliced from 5 exons. The record is from RefSeq and is a predicted model, not a curated record. Lineage: Eukaryota; Viridiplantae; Streptophyta; Magnoliopsida; Asterales; Asteraceae.
UAAAUUUUGAAUUCCGCAAUAUAGCACCUGCCGCUUUUAUUUUCUACUCACCUACCCAGAGGUUUUCUUCAUUCUACACAAAUACAGAGAUCAGAGAUCGAUACAGAAAUAGAGCGGGUCAACAUCUUCCUGUUAGUCAAAAACCACCGCCAUCACAAUUUUGGGGGUCAUAAUAUUUUCAAAACCAUUCAUCUCUCUCUCUCUCACCUCAAAGAUACAAAUCGAGAUCUAGGAGGCAAUCAGAAUAACAAUCUGAUUCAGUUGCUAGCUGAUUCGUCUGAUUCUUUCUCAUCAGAUCAGUGUUUCAAAUUUAGCCCUUGUUGGUGCAUUUAUGACUAAACCGGAAGCUGGGUCACCUGUCACCAAGUCUGAUUACAAUAGGCGGAAAUUAUCAACAGAUCCCUUCAUAGAAAGGAAAAUGGAGUUUUUGAUUGAAAGCAUGGAUGAUCUCUCAAUGGAACAUAUAUGUUUGUUCUAUUUUUUCUAUCACAGUCUGUCACGUCAACAAGCCUAGCAACAAACAUGGCUUCAAAAGUGAAGGUACCUGCAUUUGAUGUUUGAUAAUGUUACUGUGGAUACUUACAGCUAAGAAUUGGAUCUUUAAGCACAUGUGGAAUGCAUUCUUAUGAUCUUAAUUCACCUUUUACGUGGAUCACCUAUUUAUUAUUGUUUGGCUUCUUGUAUAUGUUUAAUAGGGCUGAAAUAAUGGCCCAUGUUAAGCAUAAAAGUUGGGGGUAUUGGUACUAGAGAUAUUAGAAGUGCUAAUCUUACGUUGCUAGCAAAUUGGAUGUGGAAACUUAAAGACAGGCCUAUGACUUCAUGGGUUAAGGUGGUGGUUCCGAUCAAUGGUAGUUCAAGAGUGGUUGGGCAAUUCCCCCUGAAAGAACGGUAUUUGUGAGAUGUGGAAAGACAUCUGCUCUGUUGAGAAAGAGUUUUAUGCUUUGAGCCUUCCAAUUGGCGACGGGGGUAAAACUAUGUUUUGGAUGGAUAACUGGGUUGAGGGCGGUCCCUUGUGGAGGAGAUUCCCGGCGGUUAAUAAAGAGGUUGUGGUUUCUUAGUGCAGAACGAUAUUGGGCGAGGGAUGGGUCUGGUCUUAGGAAUGGAAAACGAGUUCAGGUUCCGAAGCCUUCUGGUCACAGUUUGACACACUAGCAGCUUGUCUUGGGGCUGUGCAGUGUGUACAAGGUGUACAAGUGUGUUUUAAUAGUGAUUAUAUGACUAAAAAUAAUCAUCUGUAAUAGACGGGGUGCAACAUAUAGUGUUUGAAUAGCUUUUGUUGUUUAAAGUAAUAAUUCGUAAUUAGUAAUGUUUAAAAAAAGGUGAUCAUUUGUUGAAAA